Molecule: long non-coding RNA, 225 nt
Filed under: Solanum tuberosum (potato)
Lineage: Eukaryota; Viridiplantae; Streptophyta; Magnoliopsida; Solanales; Solanaceae
Description: long non-coding RNA (STUB_LNC003660)
Source: RNAcentral
UAUACAAACUCUUUACAACUUCACUUCUUUCAAUUCUAAGGUCGGAGAAAGUCAUGACUAAACCUUCACACUCAUCACUCAAGGUGAUUCUAAGCAUUGGAUCAUUACACUCCUAUCCUCUUUUAAAGGAGUCUACUCACUCAACAUCCAUCAAAACUCAUCAUGGCUAAGUUGGAUUAUACCAACCAACACAUAUGGCAAUAAUUAAACCCAUGAAUACUAAGG